GUUGGGAUGGUCUAGUGGUUAUGACGUCUGCCUUACACGUCGAAGAUCGCGAGUUCAAUCCUCGCUCCUGGUA
This 73-nucleotide transfer RNA is filed under the name Perkinsus marinus ATCC 50983. It matches the Rfam family "tRNA". Rfam says of the family: Transfer RNA (tRNA) molecules are approximately 80 nucleotides in length. Their secondary structure includes four short double-helical elements and three loops (D, anti-codon, and T loops). The record is from Rfam by way of RNAcentral. Lineage: Eukaryota; Perkinsozoa; Perkinsida; Perkinsidae.